GAACGGUAACAUUUCUAGCUUGCUAGAAGAUGACGAGUGGCGGACGGGUGAGUAAUGCUUGGGAACUUGCCUUUACGAGGGGGAUAACAGUUGGAAACGACUGCUAAUACCGCAUAAUGUCUUCGGACCAAACGGGGCUUCGGCUCCGGCGCAAAGAGAGGCCCAAGUGAGAUUAGCUAGUUGGUAAGGUAACGGCUUACCAAGGCGACGAUCUCUAGCUGUUCUGAGAGGAAGAUCAGCCACACUGGGACUGAGACACGGCCCAGACUCCUACGGGAGGCAGCAGUGGGGAAUAUUGCACAAUGGGGGAAACCCUGAUGCAGCCAUGCCGCGUGUGCGAAGAAGGCCUUCGGGUUGUAAAGCACUUUCAGUUGUGAGGAAAAGUUAGUAGUUAAUACCUGCUAGCCGUGACGUUAACAACAGAAGAAGCACCGGCUAACUCCGUGCCAGCAGCCGCGGUAAUACGGAGGGUGCGAGCGUUAAUCGGAAUUACUGCGCGUAAAGCGCACGCAGGCGGUUUGUUAAGCUAGAUGUGAAAGCCCCGGGCUCAACCUGGGAUGGUCAUU
This 566-nucleotide ribosomal RNA is filed under the name uncultured bacterium. Its description in RNAcentral is "bacterial SSU rRNA". It matches the Rfam family "Bacterial small subunit ribosomal RNA", at positions 64 to 627 of the family's 1533-position model. The record is from RNAcentral.